Molecule: ribosomal RNA, 466 nt
Filed under: uncultured bacterium
Lineage: Bacteria
Description: bacterial SSU rRNA
Rfam family: Bacterial small subunit ribosomal RNA
Source: RNAcentral
ACCUACGGGAGGCAGCAGUGGGGAAUUUUGGACAAUGGGCGAAAGCCUGAUCCAGCCAUGCCGCGUGAGUGAAGAAGGCCUUCGGGUUGUAAAGCUCUUUCAGACGGAAAGAAAUCUUCUGGGCUAAUACCCUGGGAGGAUGACGGUACCGUAAGAAGAAGCACCGGCUAACUACGUGCCAGCAGCCGCGGUAAUACGUAGGGUGCGAGCGUUAAUCGGAAUUACUGGGCGUAAAGCGUGCGCAGGCGGUGAUGUAAGACAGAUGUGAAAUCCCCGGGCUCAACCUGGGGACUGCGUUUGUGACUGCAUCACUCGAGUACGGCAGAGGGAGGUGGAAUUCCGCGUGUAGCAGUGAAAUGCGUAGAGAUGCGGAGGAACACCGGUGGCGAAGGCAGCCUCCUGGGCCAGUACUGACGCUCAUGCACGAAAGCGUGGGGAGCAAACAGGAUUAGAUACCCCUGUAGUC